AGGGUCGGGUCGGGUAACCAAGCCGGCUCACGGGUGGGGAGGGUAUAAGUAAAAUAGGUCGGCGUGCCCAACACACGACCCGGUUUGCCCGCAUCGAACAUUCUCCUAGCGGGGUGGGGGGCCCAGUGGGGGCUGCUACGCGGGGUUGGGCUUGUCCCUUCCUCCCCCCUGCUCCCUUUUUUUUAGCAAAAAAAAAAAAGAAUCGAAUUGCCAACUUUCGUAAAUUUGGAGCACCAUGCCCGAACAAACUCCACUGUUGAUCUAGUUGAAUACAAUGAAUUAAUUAACAAUGAAACAAUCUCAUAUAUUUUGGAAAAAGUGCAAAUCAUGGUAUAAUAUCAUUAGUAAGACAAUAGACAAAAUUACAUUUUUUUCUUACUAA
This 382-nucleotide long non-coding RNA is filed under the name Phoenix dactylifera (date palm). Its description in RNAcentral is "long non-coding RNA (PDAC_LNC006236)". Lineage: Eukaryota; Viridiplantae; Streptophyta; Magnoliopsida; Arecales; Arecaceae. The record is from RNAcentral.